Non-coding RNA from Podarcis lilfordi (Lilford's wall lizard), 4268 nucleotides. NCBI's taxonomy places the organism in Eukaryota, Metazoa, Chordata, Lepidosauria, Squamata, Lacertidae. The record is from the annotation of a GenBank genome assembly.
CUAGGGCUUGGCCCGCUUGGCCCUAGAAUUUGAUGGCCUCUGGCAGCGUUUCUGGCCUGAAUAGCGUCCCCAUGUGGUGCACAAAGCAUUGGUUUCACCUGUUCCUCACAUUGUUUAGGUUUUUUCUUUUCGCAGACUAUGACAGGGCCUUUGCAGAUGCCUCCAGAGCUUGCCUCUCCUGCAGAGGAUGACUUGUUGAUGCCCCAGGUGCCUUCUUCAGGAAGGAGGCGUCUUCAGAGGCAGGAAAAAGCAUAGCAGGGAUGAUGCUUACACCUCCUUGCAGGUAAAUCAUCACUGGGCUCUGAUGAUGAUUCAGACAUCACCUUGGACCUCUCCAGGGGUCAGGGUGAGGCUGUUCCAGGUCUUUAGGGAGCAUCCUGGAUAGCUCAGCUGGUCAGCGUAUGGUGCCGGUAAUGCCUAGGUUGCAGGAUUGGUCCCUGUAUGGGACAGCUGCAUGCUCCCUCAUCACUUUACCCGGACACUGAGGUCCAGUGCCGAGGGCCUUUCUGGUGGUUCCCUCACUGUGAGAAGCCAAGUUACAGGGAACCAGGUGGAGGGCUUUCUCGGAAGUGGCACCUGCCCUGUGGUACACCCUCCCACCAGAUGUCUACUACCAGACUUUUAGAAGACAUCUAAGGCAGCCCUGUUUAGGGAAGCUUUUAAUGUUUGAUGCAUUACUGUAUUUUAAUAUUUUGUUGGAAGCUGCCCAGAGUGGCUGGGGAAGCCCAGCCAGAUGGGCGGGGUACAAAUAGAUGAUGAUGAUGAUGAUUAUGAUGAUGAUGAUAUUGUGGGAGAGUGGACUAGAUGAUCCUAGGAGUCCCUUCCAACCCCACUAUUCUAUAAGUGGUAAUUCACUAUGAUGGGAAUGUUAGACGCAGGGCUGCCAUCAUCCCCUUAGCUCGCUAGGAUCGCAGGGACGGGGACAUGUGGACCACUUGCGCAGCUCCACAUUUCAAAUGGAAAUUCCCUGAGCAAUAGAACCUGAAGCUGGUAUGCAGGAAGCUGGCCCGGUGGCAGCUUUGUUGGGACUUCUUUAGGGUCUCUGGCCAGUGUUGGCCCUGUAAAUUUACACAUCAUGGUGGCAACACAAGGCAGGGCUUCUUGCCCAAGCGGGGCUGGCAAGCAAUAACUCAAUACCUCUCGCCCAUAUUUCCAUAAAAAUAUCUCCCUUUAAAGCCUGGCUAAAAGGUUAUCUAGAUGCGUCAGUAGCUUUGUGCUUGUGGGAAGGGUUUUUCUCCAAGGUUUCGGGAUUCCUCUGGCUUUUCAGCCAGUGGCUCAGAAUACAGCAACUCAAAAGUCAGUUAGAGUCUGUGGUAGCCAGAAAGUCUGUGGUAGCCAGAAAGAAGGUUAGGAAGCAGCUUGCAUUGGGACGUAUGGUGGGAUCCCCUUGAUUCUCCUUCUAGUCCCGAUUUUCAUUUAUCCCCAUUGGGGAUCGUCCCUAAGAAAGCCCCAUAUAAUUCCAUCUGAUCCAUAUUUAUCGCACCCCAAAGGCACCUCAGUGAAUGAUGCUAUCCCUCCGGAAUUGUUCCGUGAAAUAUGCAUCUUUGGAUCAGGCAGUUGAGCUUACCAACAAAUUGGAGGAGGUGCCUUGUUGGCAUUAUGCGAUAUUGAAUCGGCUGUUAGGCUGCUGCCGGUUCACCCUCAAGAUUUUAAGUAGUUAGGCUUUAAUUGGAUGGUCCUUAUAUGGAUAAGGCGAUGCCAGUUGGUUGCUCAAUAGGCUGUGCAGCACUUGAGUCCUUUAGCGCCUUUCUGGAUUGAACAUUGCGAGUCAAGACUCGUUUAACUGGGGGUAUCGUUAUGUGGAUUAUUUUACUGGCUGGUUCAUGUGACACCAGCCUCUGCUUAGCUUACUAGAUGCCCCUUUAUUCCCUGAGGAGCUGGGUGUUCUGUUGGCAGUGGAGGACAGUGGCUCCUACUGCCCCUUUUAAUGUAUUUGGGGGCUAGCUGGAUACCGUUGCUCAAACAUCUGCUUGCCUGUGGAAAAGCUGUUUGCCUUGAAGGAUGUUAUUCUUGUAAUACUUCCUCUGAAGCAAGUGUUGCUUUGUCAGAUCCUAUCAUUCCUAGGUCAGUUAAAUUUUGCAUGCAGGGUGGUUGCUCCAGGCUGCCCCUUCCAUUCCUGCUUGGCCAGGUGGUCUCAUGGCCCGGUGUCCCUUCAUCAUCAUGUACAGUGGCCUUGAGCCUGGCAGGGCAAGGCAAUCACAUGUAACCUAACUUUCUUGAGUUUUCCUCAUUGUAGUGUCAGCGCACAUCUGGACUGAGGAGUUUAGGGACCGUCAGGUCUGUCUUGGUCUGAUAACCAGGCAGUGUGAGAGUCCUGGCAAAACGGUCUUCAUGCUCUGGCAGAGUCUUCGCACUGCUUAAGGUUUAAUAUUGCGUUUCUGCUCACUUUAUUUCGGGAUCAUCUAAUGUUUUUGCUGUGGCUCUAUCCCGUUUUUUCAGUUGGAGAGCUUCAGAUCCUGGGCUCUGGACACCCAGCUAUUUUUCUGGAGCUCCUGUGGCACUUGGCGACAAUUAAUAAUUAUGAGGAAUAGUAGCUUACGUUUCCCCAUCCGCUUUCAGGUCUUAUGAGAAGGCCUGGACUGAUUUCUUAAAAUUUAGCUGGUAGUCCUCGGCCAUUCAGAGGAACCUGCCCCCAUCCUCUGAGCAGGACCUGCAGUAAUUCGCCCACCUGCUGCAGAUAGGAUGCAGUGUUAAAACUAUCAGAAUUCAGUCCGCUGCAAUGUCUGCUAGAGUAAAGCUUUAAUUUUCAGAGACCCUUCUAAAAGUGUGUCAUGCGCAGGGUCUCGGAAGGUUGGAAUAGGCUCUGACCUUCACAGGACAGCAGGCAGGAAGCCGGUCAAUCUUUGACCUAUGCAGUAUCUGCAACAAGUUGAGACUUGUUGGCUGGUUCAAGAUCAAGACGAGACUUAUUUCAGUAUUCCAUUGUAAUUUUGGUGUACUGAGGGUUGGGGAAAUUGUGUUGGAGCCAGCACGGGGCUGAGAGUUUGGAGGCUUAUUGCCUCAGGACUUUUCCUUAUCUGCUUUGGAGCUUGUCAUAAGUGUCUGGAGCUCUAAGUCAGACCUAGUGAGCAGGGUUGCCACCAUCAGGCUUCCAGUCACAGGUGAGGUGGGCCCUUGCCCUGUUAUUGGAUACCGGAAAUAUUUGGCUUUUCGUUCCCCUGAGGGCUGGCUCGAUCCUAGUGCACAGAAAUGGGUUCCGGUUCGACAGGCAUCUAAUUGCUCACGUCGUGCGCCAGUUAUUGCAGCCUGCGGCUUGCCUACCGCUGAACACGCCUCAUUCCUUCCAAAUAGGUGCUGCUGCAAAGGCUGCGCAUUGGGGCCUGUUAGUAGACAGGAUUGUGAAUACGGGUCAUUGGAAGUCUGACGCUGACAAAGGUUAUGUCAGGAAGCAUCGCCAAUGAUGCCUGUGCUGAUGCCUGUCUGUUAUUCCAAUUGUCAUAGGAGCAGCUGUGCGCAUUUGGAUUGUCGGCCACAGCAUCAUGCACUGAGCUGGCAAGCACCCUGACGAGUCUGGACUGGGGGCGCCAUCUCGGCCUUCCUGCCCAUGUUUCUAGCUCCAGUCCGCAUCUGGAUUGUGGGGCACAGCAUCGUUUACUGGGCUGGCAUCAGAGCUAGGCAGUCUGGAAGGGGACUGGGUCUUGGCCUCCCGCAGCAUGUGCAGGUGUUGUGGAUGUCCAGGCGCAGAAUGCAGUGGAGCGAAUUCAUCCCGCUAAUUAAGCAGAGGGUGCUUCGGAUGGCCCCCCCCCAUGGCAAUUGUGGUUCAGCUGGGGGGGAACGAUGUGGCAACUUAUGAUUGCUUUACUUUGCGCUCCACGAUUCAGAGAGACUUGUGUGAAUUGGUGACCUUAAUACCCACAGUUAAAAUAUUUUGGUCACAAUUGCUGCAAAGGCGCAAUUGGCACGGCAUUUCUCGACCUGAGGCUGCUGAAAGGGCCAGGAAGCGCAUUAAUUCUGCAGUGUGUAAGAAGGUGGCGGAUUUGGGUGGAUUGGUUAUUUCCCGCCCGGAUAUUACCUUCAAGGCUCUGGCCCUUUACCGCAAUGAUGGAGUACAUCUCUCUGUACUGGGGAAUGAUGUUUGGUUGGAUGCGGUAACUGCAAGGUUGAAGGUUGGGUUGGGAUUGUGAGUGGUUGGCGGCGAGCGUAAAGGGCUCGAUUGGCGGUUAGGCAUUGGUUAUAAAUUGGUGGAGGAGGGGUUAGGAUAGGCUGGGCCUGCCCCUCCAUGGUUGCUGCGGAAAGGGAAUUCCGUUAAAGGAAUCCUGGGGCUUGCC